This 1220-nucleotide ribosomal RNA is filed under the name Staphylococcus epidermidis. RNAcentral describes it as "bacterial SSU rRNA". It matches the Rfam family "Bacterial small subunit ribosomal RNA", at positions 39 to 1244 of the family's 1533-position model. Lineage: Bacteria; Bacillati; Bacillota; Bacilli; Caryophanales; Staphylococcaceae. The record is from RNAcentral.
GAGGCGNUGCUAAUACAUGCAAGUCGAGCGAACAGACGAGGAGCUUGCUCCUCUGACGUUAGCGGCGGACGGGUGAGUAACACGUGGAUAACCUACCUAUAAGACUGGGAUAACUUCGGGAAACCGGAGCUAAUACCGGAUAAUAUAUUGAACCGCAUGGUUCAAUAGUGAAAGACGGUUUUGCUGUCACUUAUAGAUGGAUCCGCGCCGCAUUAGCUAGUUGGUAAGGUAACGGCUUACCAAGGCAACGAUGCGUAGCCGACCUGAGAGGGUGAUCGGCCACACUGGAACUGAGACACGGUCCAGACUCCUACGGGAGGCAGCAGUAGGGAAUCUUCCGCAAUGGGCGAAAGCCUGACGGAGCAACGCCGCGUGAGUGAUGAAGGUCUUCGGAUCGUAAAACUCUGUUAUUAGGGAAGAACAAAUGUGUAAGUAACUAUGCACGUCUUGACGGUACCUAAUCAGAAAGCCACGGCUAACUACGUGCCAGCAGCCGCGGUAAUACGUAGGUGGCAAGCGUUAUCCGGAAUUAUUGGGCGUAAAGCGCGCGUAGGCGGUUUUUUAAGUCUGAUGUGAAAGCCCACGGCUCAACCGUGGAGGGUCAUUGGAAACUGGAAAACUUGAGUGCAGAAGAGGAAAGUGGAAUUCCAUGUGUAGCGGUGAAAUGCGCAGAGAUAUGGAGGAACACCAGUGGCGAAGGCGACUUUCUGGUCUGUAACUGACGCUGAUGUGCGAAAGCGUGGGGAUCAAACAGGAUUAGAUACCCUGGUAGUCCACGCCGUAAACGAUGAGUGCUAAGUGUUAGGGGGUUUCCGCCCCUUAGUGCUGCAGCUAACGCAUUAAGCACUCCGCCUGGGGAGUACGACCGCAAGGUUGAAACUCAAAGGAAUUGACGGGGACCCGCACAAGCGGUGGAGCAUGUGGUUUAAUUCGAAGCAACGCGAAGAACCUUACCAAAUCUUGACAUCCUCUGACCCCUCUAGAGAUAGAGUUUUCCCCUUCGGGGGACAGAGUGACAGGUGGUGCAUGGUUGUCGUCAGCUCGUGUCGUGAGAUGUUGGGUUAAGUCCCGCAACGAGCGCAACCCUUAAGCUUAGUUGCCAUCAUUAAGUUGGGCACUCUAAGUUGACUGCCGGUGACAAACCGGAGGAAGGGGGGGAUGACGCCAAUCAUCAUGCUCCUUAGNAUUGGGNUAACACGGGNUNAAUGGACAAUACAAGG